Spinacia oleracea (spinach) is the source of this 1479-nucleotide long non-coding RNA. RefSeq lists it as uncharacterized. Lineage: Eukaryota; Viridiplantae; Streptophyta; Magnoliopsida; Caryophyllales; Amaranthaceae. The transcript is spliced from 4 exons. The record is from RefSeq and is a predicted model, not a curated record.
GGGAAGCUGAAAAAUAAAGUAAAAUAAAUUGGUUCGUCGUUAUUCAAUGCAUUCCCAUAGCUUCGUUAAGGCCGCCACAAGUUUACUAACCUCAAACAAAACCCUCAAACAAAACCCUCAAACCCUAGAUUGAACUUCUCAAGUUCUUCUGAUCUUCUCUUCAUAUGAGCCGCUUCUUUGAGCUGGAAUCCCCAACAAAUCCUUGACAUACACCGCUCAAUUUAUAUGCCCCUCUUUCUCUCUUUAUUUCACGAAAUAUGCUAUGGAUUUAGGGGUUUAUUAGUUGAUUUUGUUCAAUCGAUUAAUGAAGUUGGGAUGGAUUUGGCUGUCAAAUUUUUGAAUCGUAUCUGCAAUUCUGCAAAUUAUGUAAUUUAUUAACGCUCAAGCCGAAAAUUAUGUAAUAUACGAGUCCAGUACAACUAAUUUGCAGGAAAAGCGGAGUUGUUUGAGAAAGAUGUUUCACAGUUUCCUGUUGCUGGUAAGAUAGAGUACUGGUAGAUUCGUGGCCGAGUCACGCAUACAAGUAUUCACUGGAACAUUGACCCUACAGAGGACCAUGUCUUCAGCUUUAUUGGGGUUUCGGCAACAGUGAAGUUGUAGUAGCCUUUCGUGCUUCGACAACCAAGGAUAUUGACUUGAAGACUAUUUAAAGGCUAAUUGGUUUGGUAAGAGUUGUUUGGAGUUUAUUUGGUAAUUUUUCCACAAUUUCUAACCUUUGGUGGAAUUUGAAUGCAGAAUCAGUAGGUGAAUUGAAAUUGUUCAAAAACUUUAGGAAGGAAAUUAAGUAAUUAUGAUGAAUUGGAGGACUAAGCGAACUGAAGUUGGUAACUCCAUCUGUUGUAAAUCUUGUCAUUUAGGGUGCAAAAUAUUCCUGUAAUGCAAAUUUUCAAAUGAAAUAGAAUAUGAAUUAUUGAUCCUCAAGUUGGUUGGGAUACAAUUUGAAUUCUUUAAUAUGAAGCUAACAUUUCUUGUUUUACAUAUUCUUUUAGUCUUGGCUAGUAGAGGCUUCUAUCAUCACUACUGCAAGUAGCAACUAGCAGCUUUCAGGAGGCAACGUUCCAUUGGUAGCACAUAAGAUUUUUAAAUCCAAUCUCCAGAUCGAGUGAUAGGUUUUAGAGGAGGAAUAAAGUUUAAAGAUACAAAGGGACAACAACGCAGUAGAGAAGAAGUCCACCAGAACAAAGUUCUUGCAUGUCACGUGGAGGACGUGAAGAGAACAAUGAAAUGAAGGCCAUAUUACUUUGGUUGAGUCUAAAAUGAAAAUAUUCGAAGAUAUGUUGGUGUCACAACUUAAUGUUGCAAUUCCUACUUCACAAUAUGGUUCGGAAUGUCCAUGUACUUAAAGAUGUGAAGUUAUCACGCUUCAUAUCGCUAUAGAGUCUUUAAUGUAGGUGUUUUUAGAAGUUUAAGAACAGAGAAUUGUACAAUUCUUUAGAUAUUCCUCUAGUUUAUAACAUGAAAUUGGAUCUUUAGUGUGGA